Molecule: unclassified non-coding RNA, 278 nt
Filed under: uncultured Lactarius
Lineage: Eukaryota; Fungi; Basidiomycota; Agaricomycetes; Russulales; Russulaceae
Description: sequence contains ITS2
Source: RNAcentral
AAAUCUCAACCUUCUCGGUUUCUUCUGGACACCGAAGGAGGCUUGGACUUUGGAGGCCUUUGCUGGCAUCCCUUCUUCUUUUGAAGGCCAGCUCCUCUCAAAUGAAUUAGUGGGGUCCUCUUUGCCGAUCCUCGACGUGUGAUAAUAUGUUUCCAUGUCUUGGUUUAAUGGCUCUGUUGCCUUUGGGACCUGCUUCUAACCGUCUUGACGACAACGAGGUUCGAGGGUGUCUCCUCCCCUUCUCGGGGGGAAAGAGAUGCUCUGGAACCCAACGAAAC